AUUGAACGCUGGCGGCAGGCCUAACACAUGCAAGUCGAACGGUAGCACAGAGAGCUUGCUCUCGGGUGACGAGUGGCGGACGGGUGAGUAAUGUCUGGGAAACUGCCUGAUGGCGGGGGAUAACUACUGGAAACGGUAGCUAAUACCGCAUAACGUCGCAAGACCAAAGAGGGGGACCUUCGGGCCUCUUGCCAUCAGAUGUGCCCAGAUGGGAUUAGCUAGUAGGUGGGGUAACGGCUCACCUAGGCGACGAUCCCUAGCUGGUCUGAGAGGAUGACCAGCCACACUGGAACUGGGACACGGUCCAGACUCCUACGGGAGGCAGCAGUGGGGAAUAUUGCACAAUGGGCGCAAGCCUGAUGCAGCCAUGCCGCGUGUAUGAAGAAGGCCUUCGGGUUGUAAAGUACUUUCAGCGGGGAGGAAGGUGUUGAGGUUAAUAACCUCAGCAAUUGACGUUACCCGCAGAAGAAGCACCGGCUAACUCCGUGCCAGCCGCCGCAGUAA
This 504-nucleotide ribosomal RNA is filed under the name uncultured bacterium. Its description in RNAcentral is "partial 16S ribosomal RNA". It matches the Rfam family "Bacterial small subunit ribosomal RNA", at positions 30 to 523 of the family's 1533-position model. The record is from RNAcentral.